This 1002-nucleotide long non-coding RNA is filed under the name Ananas comosus (pineapple). RNAcentral describes it as "long non-coding RNA (ACOM_LNC015322)". The record is from RNAcentral. Lineage: Eukaryota; Viridiplantae; Streptophyta; Magnoliopsida; Poales; Bromeliaceae.
UCAACAACUAUUUAUUAAGAAAAAACUUAAAAUAUCGUUCCUAUAGUUUCAUACUUUUUUAUUUUAAUAUCCUGCGAUUUAAGGCGUAUCAAUUUAGUACCCGUGAUUUUAUUUUUCUCUUUUCAUUAUUUCUUUUACUAAUUUUUUUUGGUUAAAUCAGUGACAAAGUUAAAAAACUAAAAGGUACUAAAUUGAAUACUCGAUAAAUCUAUGUGGGGUAUUUGAAGUUUUUUCUAUAUGAUUUAACGAAAUUUUAACGAAGAGGCUGAUGAAAGGAGAAAAAUGAAACCACACGAUACUAAAUUGAUACACUUUAAAUCACACGGUACUAAAGUGAGAAAGUGUGAAACCACAUGGGUGAUAUUUAAAAUUUAACAAUAAAAAAGGAUAAAUUUCAAAUACCCCCUUGUGGUUUCACAUUUUCUCCCUUUAGUAUCUUAUGGUUUAAAGUGUAUAAAGUUAACUCCUGUGGUUUCGCACUUUCUCACUUUAGUACUCUAUGGUUUAAAAUGUAUCAAGUUAGCAUUCUGUGGUUUCAUUUUUCUCUUUUUAUUAUUCAUUUCACUAAUUUUUUUCGUUAAAUCAGUCACAAAGUUAAAAUUAAAAGGUACUAAAGUAAAUAUUCGAUAAACCUAGAUAAGGUAUCUGAAGUUUUUUGUAUAUAAUUUAACGAAGUAUUAACGGAGGAAAAAAAAUCAAUGACAAAAUUAAAACUAAAGGAUACUAAGGUAAAUAUUCAAUUAACCUAGAUAGGAUAUCUGAAGUUUUUUGUAUAUAAUUUAACGAAAUAUUAAUAGAGGAGUUGACGAAAGUGAAAAAUGAAAUCACAUGAUACUAAAUUGAUGCACUUUAAACCACAGAAUACUAAAGUGAGAAAGUGCGAAACCACAACAUACUAAAUUGAUAUACUUUAAACCGCAGAAUACUAACGUAAAAAAGUGCAAAAUCAUAGGAGUGGUAUUUAAAGUUUUUCAUAAAAAAUAAAUAAACAGGUGGUAAGAU